RNAcentral lists this long non-coding RNA (574 nucleotides) under Anser brachyrhynchus (Pink-footed goose). RNAcentral describes it as "lncRNA (ENSABRG00000014300.1)". Lineage: Eukaryota; Metazoa; Chordata; Aves; Anseriformes; Anatidae. The record is from RNAcentral.
GUAAUAUUAUGCACAUAUUAUUAGUGAGAGUUUAUUCUGUUUCUGCAGUCCUUGAAGUAGUCGUUCUGAACCAAAGAGAACACUGUGAACUUCUUGACGAAAAUAUUUCCCUAAAUGUGAAUGCUUUGAUCCAGCUGCUCUGCCAGCACUGCCUCUGAGCAAGCGAUCCCUCACCCCAAAUACCAAUCUGUUCUCUAAGAGGCACCACGCCAAUGAAGAGGACAAGAGAGGGCCGCUCUGCUGCAAUACUUGGAGAGAGCCAUGGCAGUGGGCACCCUCUCAUCCAAACACCGAUUUUCUCUGGUGGCAUGAGAGAGAACUGAGAGAAGCUGCACAGAGACCACCUGGGAGCUGCUCUUCAAUCUCGGGCACAUGGAGAAAACACCCGCUUUGUGUUUGGCUUUUGCAAUGAAUGCUUGUGCAGAAGAAUGAAGGAGGUUGGAAGAGCUUCUCUGCUGCCUACGGCUCUCUUUUCUAUUUCAUUGCUUCAAGAGGUGCAGAAAAUGCUAAUCACUGAAGCGAACUAAGAAGCAAUAAGUAAUGCUGUGUAAUAGUUGUGCUUAAUAAAAUAAAG